GGCUGGUCCAAGUGCAGUGAUGUUUACAACUAACUGAUCACAACUAGUUGCAAAUUUCUUUGUUCCUUGCCAUUCCCACUGCUUCACUCAACUAGCCAUAA
Papio anubis (olive baboon) is the source of this 101-nucleotide Y RNA. It matches the Rfam family "Y RNA". From Rfam's summary of the family: Y RNAs are components of the Ro ribonucleoprotein particle (Ro RNP), in association with Ro60 and La proteins. NCBI's taxonomy places the organism in Eukaryota, Metazoa, Chordata, Mammalia, Primates, Cercopithecidae. The record is from Ensembl.